This 1667-nucleotide unclassified non-coding RNA is filed under the name uncultured fungus. RNAcentral's name for it is "sequence contains 18S rRNA gene, ITS1, 5.8S rRNA gene, ITS2, 28S rRNA gene". The stretch from base 704 to 1667 matches the Rfam family "Eukaryotic large subunit ribosomal RNA", at positions 1 to 961 of the family's 3401-position model. Lineage: Eukaryota; Fungi. The record is from RNAcentral.
GGAAGGAUCAUUGCACACACAAGUUGCAGCCAACCCGCGGCGAACGAACACAUUGUCCCCCUCGGCGGGUCGUGGCGCCUCGCGGCGUCGCGGCCGGCCGGCUCCCUUCGUCACGAGUGAGCUCGCGCUCCCUCGCGGCGUCGGCGGGUUCACACCACAUGGAUUCACCUUGACCGAAUGACUGAGUCCCGAAAACACUGGAUUACGAAAACUCCUCCGGGAGGGGGCUCGCUCCCUCUCGCGUGGAGUUGGAGUUGUGGUGUGGAAACAUAACCAAAACAACUCUCAGCAACGGAUAUCUUGGCUCUUGCAACGAUGAAGAACGCAGCGAAAUGCGAUACGUAGUGUGAAUUGCAGAAUUCCGCGAAUCAUCGAGUCUUUGAACGCAAGUUGCGCCCGAGGCUUGUCCGAGGGCAUUUCCGCUAGAGCGUCACCGCGCCCCCCACCCACCCCCUCCCUCCGGGAGUCGGGUGGCGUGAAAGUGGCCGUCCCGGCGUCGGGCUUCGCGGCCUGACUACGGGUCGGCUGAAAUGGAAGGAAUCGGGCCGCCGUGGUGACACAGUCCGCGAUCGGGUGAUCCGCGCUCCUUCGGGAGCCCGGAAUAUUUCUAAGUGCGUGGCUGCGUCCCCAGUUGGCUCCGGUUACCUCGUGCAGGUCGGGCGCGCCCCCCGUGAAUGGGGCGGCGCGCGUCACGUCACGCAUCAGACCUCUAAUCGGAAAAGACUACCCGCUGAGUUUAAGCAUAUCACUAAGCGGAGGAGAAGAAACUAACCAGGAUUUCCCUAGUAACGGCGAGCGAACCGGAAAGAGCCCAGCUUGAAAAUCGUGGUGCCUCGCAUCUCGAAUUGUAGUCUGGAGAAGGUCCCUCUGCGACGCGCCGGACCCAAGUUCCCUGGAAAGGGACGUCAUCGAGGGUGACAACCCCGUCCGCGCCCGGAACGCGUCGCUCCACGAGGACCUGUCUGCGAGUCGGGCUGUUUGGGAAUGCAGCCCUAAGCGGGAGGUAAAUUCCUUCCAAGGCUAAAUAUGGGCAAGAGACCGAUAGCGAACAAGUACCGCGAGGGAAAGAUGAAAAGGACUUUGAAAAGAGAGUUAAAAAGUGCUUGAAAUUGCUGGGAGGGAAGCGAAUGGAAGCUGCGGGUGCGCCCCGGUUGGAUGUGGAACGGCUUCGGCUGGUCCGCCGCUCAACGCGGGGCGCUGGUCAGCGUGGGCCACGGCGCCGGGACAAGAGCGGGGAUUCGCUUCCCGCCUAUGCCGGUGCGGUGGCCGAGGCACGAAGCGCGCGCCGCAAGGCGUGGGUUCGCCCAACUGCGCGCUCGGGACGCUGGCGUAUUGAGCUCUUCAUCCGACCCGUCUUGAAACACGGACCAAGGAGUCUAACAUGUAUGCGAGCCGGUGGGCGGCAAACCCAUUGAGGCGCAAGUAAACUGACAGGUGGGACCCCGACCGUGAGGGAGGGAGCACCAUCGACCGACCGUGAUCUUCUGUGAAAGGUUUGAGUGUGAGCAUACCUGUUGGGACCCGAAAGAUGGUGAACUAUGCCUGAGCAGGGCGAAGCCAGAGGAAACUCUGGUGGAGGCUCGUAGCGAUACUGACGUGCAAAUCGUUCGUCAGACUUGGGUAUAGGGGCGAAAGACUAAUCGAACCAUCUAGUAGCUGGUUCCCUC